This 127-nucleotide small RNA is filed under the name Marmota monax (woodchuck). The record is from RNAcentral. Lineage: Eukaryota; Metazoa; Chordata; Mammalia; Rodentia; Sciuridae.
GCCAGGCAUGGUGGUGCAUGCCUGCAAUCUCAGCUACUCAGGAGGCUGAGGCAAGAAGACUGUAAGUUUGAGGACAGCCUCAGCAACUUUGCAGGGCCCUAAGCAAUUUAGGAAGACCCUGCCUUAA